AGUGAACGCUGGCGGUAGGCCUAACACAUGCAAGUCGAACGGCAGCACAGUAAGAGCUUGCUCUUACGGGUGGCGAGUGGCGGACGGGUGAGUAAUACAUCGGAAUCUACUUUUUCGUGGGGGAUAACGUAGGGAAACUUACGCUAAUACCGCAUACGACCUACUGGUGAAAGCAGGGGAUCUUCGGACCUUGCGCGAUUGAAUGAGCCGAUGUCGGAUUAGCUAGUUGGCGGGGUAAAGGCCCACCAAGGCGACGAUCCGUAGCUGGUCUGAGAGGAUGAUCAGACACACUGGAACUGAGACACGGUCCAGACUCCUACGGGAGGCAGCAGUGGGGAAUAUUGGACAAAGGGCGAAAGCCUGAUCCAGCCAUACCGCGUGGGUGAAGAAGGACUUCGGGUUGUAAAGCCAUUUUGUUGGGAAAGAAAAGAAGCAGGUUAAUACCCCGCUGUUCUGACGGUACCCAAAGAAUAAGCACCGGCUAACUUCGUG
Molecule: ribosomal RNA, 492 nt
Filed under: uncultured bacterium
Lineage: Bacteria
Description: partial 16S ribosomal RNA
Rfam family: Bacterial small subunit ribosomal RNA
Source: RNAcentral